UUAAGCGACUAAGCGUACACGGUGGAUGCCCUGGCAGUCAGAGGCGAUGAAGGACGUGCUAAUCUGCGAUAAGCGUCGGUAAGGUGAUAUGAACCGUUAUAACCGGCGAUUUCCGAAUGGGGAAACCCAGUGUGUUUCGACACACUAUCAUUAACUGAAUCCAUAGGUUAAUGAGGCGAACCGGGGGAACUGAAACAUCUAAGUACCCCGAGGAAAAGAAAUCAACCGAGAUUCCCCCAGUAGCGGCGAGCGAACGGGGAGCAGCCCAGAGCCUGAAUCAGUGUGUGUGUUAGUGGAAGCGUCUGGAAAGGCGCGCGAUACAGGGUGACAGCCCCGUACACAAAAAUGCACAUGCUGUGAGCUCGAUGAGUAGGGCGGGACACGUGGUAUCCUGUCUGAAUAUGGGGGGACCAUCCUCCAAGGCUAAAUACUCCUGACUGACCGAUAGUGAACCAGUACCGUGAGGGAAAGGCGAAAAGAACCCCGGCGAGGGGAGUGAAAAAGAACCUGAAACCGUGUACGUACAAGCAGUGGGAGCACAGAGCAAUCUGUGUGACUGCGUACCUUUUGUAUAAUGGGUCAGCGACUUAUAUUCUGUAGCAAGGUUAACCGAAUAGGGGAGCCGAAGGGAAACCGAGUCUUAACUGGGCGUUAAGUUGCAGGGUAUAGACCCGAAACCCGGUGAUCUAGCCAUGGGCAGGUUGAAGGUUGGGUAACACUAACUGGAGGACCGAACCGACUAAUGUUGAAAAAUUAGCGGAUGACUUGUGGCUGGGGGUGAAAGGCCAAUCAAACCGGGAGAUAGCUGGUUCUCCCCGAAAGCUAUUUAGGUAGCGCCUCGUGAAUUCAUCUCCGGGGGUAGAGCACUGUUUCGGCAAGGGGGUCAUCCCGACUUACCAACCCGAUGCAAACUGCGAAUACCGGAGAAUGUUAUCACGGGAGACACACGGCGGGUGCUAACGUCCGUCGUGAAGAGGGAAACAACCCAGACCGCCAGCUAAGGUCCCAAAGUCAUGGUUAAGUGGGAAACGAUGUGGGAAGGCCCAGACAGCCAGGAUGUUGGCUUAGAAGCAGCCAUCAUUUAAAGAAAGCGUAAUAGCUCACUGGUCGAGUCGGCCUGCGCGGAAGAUGUAACGGGGCUAAACCAUGCACCGAAGCUGCGGCAGCGACGCUUAUGCGUUGUUGGGUAGGGGAGCGUUCUGUAAGCCUGCGAAGGUGUGCUGUGAGGCAUGCUGGAGGUAUCAGAAGUGCGAAUGCUGACAUAAGUAACGAUAAAGCGGGUGAAAAGCCCGCUCGCCGGAAGACCAAGGGUUCCUGUCCAACGUUAAUCGGGGCAGGGUGAGUCGACCCCUAAGGCGAGGCCGAAAGGCGUAGUCGAUGGGAAACAGGUUAAUAUUCCUGUACUUGGUGUUACUGCGAAGGGGGGACGGAGAAGGCUAUGUUGGCCGGGCGACGGUUGUCCCGGUUUAAGCGUGUAGGCUGGUUUUCCAGGCAAAUCCGGAAAAUCAAGGCUGAGGCGUGAUGACGAGGCACUACGGUGCUGAAGCAACAAAUGCCCUGCUUCCAGGAAAAGCCUCUAAGCAUCAGGUAACAUCAAAUCGUACCCCAAACCGACACAGGUGGUCAGGUAGAGAAUACCAAGGCGCUUGAGAGAACUCGGGUGAAGGAACUAGGCAAAAUGGUGCCGUAACUUCGGGAGAAGGCACGCUGAUAUGUAGGUGAAGUCCCUCGCGGAUGGAGCUGAAAUCAGUCGAAGAUACCAGCUGGCUGCAACUGUUUAUUAAAAACACAGCACUGUGCAAACACGAAAGUGGACGUAUACGGUGUGACGCCUGCCCGGUGCCGGAAGGUUAAUUGAUGGGGUUAGCGCAAGCGAAGCUCUUGAUCGAAGCCCCGGUAAACGGCGGCCGUAACUAUAACGGUCCUAAGGUAGCGAAAUUCCUUGUCGGGU
Molecule: ribosomal RNA, 1951 nt
Filed under: human gut metagenome
Description: bacterial LSU rRNA
Rfam family: Bacterial large subunit ribosomal RNA
Source: RNAcentral